Molecule: long non-coding RNA, 935 nt
Organism: Bos taurus (domestic cattle)
Lineage: Eukaryota; Metazoa; Chordata; Mammalia; Artiodactyla; Bovidae
Source: Ensembl
GACCAAGUGGGAGAGUCCCUGGCAAGAGAUACUUCUCCCUUCCCCUCGCCCCUUGCCUCCCGGAGAUCCCCCACUGAGGACAGCCUGGAGGGCGGGCACAGGCACCAGUCAGCACCUUUGCUGGUGCAGAGCCAGGCUGGGGUCCCUGGGGCCUCGGUUUCCUCGGCUCUCCAACGGGGCUGGUCCCUUCCUCUCUUGCUUUCCCUCCGAUCCAGCCUCAGGGCAGAGGGGAAGGCCAAGGAACACACUUUGGCAGGUUGUUCAGAUUUCCCAGAGGUACACCCUUCAGGUUCCAUCCUGGAGGACAAUGGCCAGUGUUCUGGGAAUUUCAGCGGGUAAGAGGACCCAGGUCUCAGCAUCCACUGUGUGAACAUUUUCAGUGAGAUGAGGAUCCGAGAGGCUGAGUAACUUGCCUGAGGAAAAACAGUCAAAGAGUGGAAGUAUCACUUGGCUGCAUCUGGAUCCAGAGUCCCUGCGCUUUCCACUGCCCUACUUAGAUGGCCCUGGGUCUCCUAUAAUAUCAGCACAGCCUGGUGCCCCCAAGGCUUUGAAAAAGUCCCACAGAUUGGAACCCAGCUCAGCUCCCAGGCACCCCCCAGGUCGGGAGGGAGAAUGCAGCUUUAGAACCUUAGCUGUCACCUCUGCCACCACCUUCUUCCCGGCAGAGGGACUCCCUCCAAGACUGGGUAAGGGUGUGAAAAAGGGGCAGCAGUGGGCAGGAUGGGGGUCAGACGCCGAGAGGGUAGCAAAGAUUGGAGCAUCAGGAAGUGAACAUGCCUGGGACUGUUGGGGAGCAGCGAUCCAGGGAGAGAGCUUGGUGUUUGGGGAUUCGACUGAGGCCUGUGAAGGAGAAGCAGAUGGGGCCUGGGGCUCCCCCAGAGUGUGGCCCUUCCCUGUCCCUUCUGCUCCCUCUCCAUCUUUAAAAAAUUUUAUUU